AUCGCUUCUCGGCCUAUCUGGCUAAGAUCAAAAUGUAGCGCCUGUUCUUAUCAGCUUAAUAUCUGAUACGGGUGCUAUGUGCACCCGGGAUGUUAUAGCAAUUUUUGCACGCUGGCACCGUGAAGGGGCUCGCCCCUCCGUUGCCACGGGUUGUCCCGGCAUUGCACUGCCGCCGGGCUCAGCCCCGUUCCC
This 192-nucleotide small nuclear RNA is filed under the name Haemaphysalis longicornis (longhorned tick). RNAcentral's name for it is "U2 spliceosomal RNA". It matches the Rfam family "U2 spliceosomal RNA". Rfam says of the family: U2 is a small nuclear RNA (snRNA) component of the spliceosome (involved in pre-mRNA splicing). Complementary binding between U2 snRNA (in an area lying towards the 5' end but 3' to hairpin I) and the branchpoint sequence (BPS) of the intron results the bulging out of an unpaired adenosine, on the BPS, which initiates a nucleophilic attack at the intronic 5' splice site, thus starting the first of two transesterification reactions that mediate splicing. Lineage: Eukaryota; Metazoa; Arthropoda; Arachnida; Ixodida; Ixodidae. The record is from Rfam by way of RNAcentral.